UACAGAGGUCCCAAGCGUUGUUCGGAUUCAUUGGGCGUAAAGGGUGCGUAGGCGGCGCGGUAAGUCGGGUGUGAAAUCUCGGAGCUUAACUCCGAAACUGCAUUCGAUACUGCCGUGCUUGAGGACUGGAGAGGAGACUGGAAUUUACGGUGUAGCGGUGAAAUGCGUAGAUAUCGUAAGGAAGACCAGUGGCGAAGGCGGGUCUCUGGACAGUUCCUGACGCUGAGGCGCGAAAGCUAGGGGAGCGAACAGG
Molecule: ribosomal RNA, 253 nt
Filed under: uncultured bacterium
Lineage: Bacteria
Description: partial 16S ribosomal RNA
Rfam family: Bacterial small subunit ribosomal RNA
Source: RNAcentral